UGGGGAAUUUUGGACAAUGGGGGCAACCCUGAUCCAGCAAUGCCGCGUGUGUGAAGAAGGCCUUCGGGUUGUAAAGCACUUUUGUCCGGAAAGAAAACGCCGUGGUUAAUACCCGUGGCGGAUGACGGUACCGGAAGAAUAAGCACCGGCUAACUACGUGCCAGCAGCCGCGGUAAUACGUAGGGUGCAAGCGUUAAUCGGAAUUACUGGGCGUAAAGCGUGCGCAGGCGGUCCGCUAAGACAGAUGUGAAAUCCCCGGGCUUAACCUGGGAACUGCAUUUGUGACUGGCGGGCUAGAGUAUGGCAGAGGGGGGUAGAAUUCCACGUGUAGCAGUGAAAUGCGUAGAGAUGUGGAGGAAUACCGAUGGCGAAGGCAGCCCCCCUGGGCCAAUACUGACGCUCAUGCACGAAAGCGUGGGGGAGCAAACAGGAUUAGAUACCCUGGUAGUCCACGCCCUAACGAUGUCAACUAGUUGUCGGGUCUUCAUUGACUUGGUAACGUAGCUAA
Molecule: ribosomal RNA, 508 nt
Filed under: uncultured bacterium
Lineage: Bacteria
Description: partial 16S ribosomal RNA
Rfam family: Bacterial small subunit ribosomal RNA
Source: RNAcentral